RNAcentral lists this small RNA (182 nucleotides) under Gopherus agassizii (Agassiz's desert tortoise). RNAcentral describes it as "TUC338 (ENSGAGG00000022357.1)". The record is from RNAcentral. Lineage: Eukaryota; Metazoa; Chordata; Testudines; Testudinidae.
CAGGGUGCCAGGUUGGAGAGCACCAGAUUUAUCUACCCACCGAGAGGGCAUAGGCCAGGGAGUGGUAGGGCAGGCUUCCCUCCCAUGCUGCCCUGCCCGUGUGCCUCAGCCUUGCCCUGGAGGGACUCUGUCCCCAGGAGGUGAGGCGUUUACUCUCCAGGGCCAUUCUGGUAUGAGCUUUC